RNAcentral lists this microRNA precursor (183 nucleotides) under Oryza brachyantha (malo sina). RNAcentral describes it as "MIR812 microRNA precursor family". It matches the Rfam family "MIR812 microRNA precursor family". The record is from Rfam by way of RNAcentral. Lineage: Eukaryota; Viridiplantae; Streptophyta; Magnoliopsida; Poales; Poaceae.
AAAGAGCGUAGUUUUGCAUUGUGUAUGUUUAACAUCUGACCGUAUGUCUUAUUAAAAAAAUUAUGAUUAGUGUUUUUUUGUUAUUAGAUAAUAAAAUAUGAAUAGUAUUUUAUAUGUUUAAACGAUGUUCAAAUAAGACGGGCCAUCAAAUGUUGGACACAGUAAUCCACAACAGCACUUAAA